GUUAGAGCUGGGAACUCUCUUGAGUAUGGGUAUGCAAUUUUCGGGCAGAGGGCUAAAAAUAGGGCUAGGUACCAGAAGUUAAGGAAUUGGAUAAGCGCUAGAACAGCACAUUAUCCCUUCUAAAUGACAGCGUGUCUUGAAAUGCACUUUGUUUCUUCACACAUCUAAACAGCAUUUUAAAAGUUAGAUAGCAUAGGGUGCAUAGAGACUUUGUCACUUCAGCUGCCAUUCAUACAGUGACGAGACCAAGAGGAUACUUCCAUGAAUCAAUUGACCCUUCGCUAAGUCCCAGCCCUCGAACGCAGACUGACCAAUUGUAGCGUAGCAUUGUCCAACUCCGACCAGGGUCCGCAACUAUCCGGUUCUUCUCCAUAGGCUCUUGUGCAAUAGUUUUGGGUUUCCUUCAUUUUCAGGCUGGUUUUGUGGAUUCCGAGCGAGCUACGGUCAAAUGUUUUUCCUCGGGUAUGUGUAGUAGCAAUCCUCGGAGAGGCUGGAAGAAAACAUUUGUUUCUGAGACGUUACGUUUCCAUAUCCAAACUGAAGCAGAGGACAUUAGCACAACAUAAACUAGUGUUAGCACUUCAAUGCUUUGCUAGCUACUGAAGUUACACUGAAUGUAAACACAUGCUGCUUUUGCUGUUUAAAGACUGUUACAGUAGAUAAAGACCUACCUAUACGGGAACAGUGCAUUUUAUUGUCCUCCGUCACUAUCGCGAGGUCAUGUAGCGGUCGACUUUCACCCUGUGAUGUGAUCUGUAGGCUUCAGCUUUUCAUCUUUGUUGUUUUACAUCGUGGCUACAUCAUUCAAACAUAACAUGACUCUGACUCUGUAGACUCUUCUGUCUGCUUCUCUCUAGUUAUCUUUUGGUUUUCCAAAAAUUAGAUAUUUACCCAGGCGUGUGCAGUUAGUGACAGUGUGGGCUUCAUGGUAGCAGCAGGGGGCGGGCUCAGCGAAGAGCCCCCCUGGUUUGGGCUGCGGUAGCCCAAAGUCACAAAUCUCUUCUUCAUUGUUGGAUUGCUGAACCCUUUAUAUGUACCAAUCUUCAGGGAGACGUGAGUGGGUCAGCCCUGGCUACUGUCCACAUCACUGGACCUCUCCAAGCUCUUUAGCCAGUAGAUCCAUUGUUUAUGUUUAUAAAAGCAUGUUCUGCAUUGUUUAUGUUCUCCUUGCACACCUGUGAUUACUGUGUAUACAGUGGUGUGUUGGGCGGUAGCGACAUUACUGGUUUAACUACAUUCUCUGAAGCUCAACCAGCUGCUGCAGGGUCUGAACUUGGCACCCGUCACUAGAAGGUUAAUGUUGUCAGAAUGACCUAAAUAUUAUCACCUCAUUUAGCGCAUAGAUUAGAAGUAGCAGGCAAAAAAUAGAUCUUUCCUGCCACCGUGCACUGGCAUAUGACGGUGACAUCACUUACAAAGAAGGUCACAGAAGUUGCAGAUAUGAGUUUCUGUCUCGUCCCACUGGAUUAAAAACCUGGUUAGGAUUCCUUAAAAUGUUGUGAGGCCAGCGUGGGUGUACAGGAUGCUGUGCCACUAGUUUCAGGUGCAGGAUGUGGGUGGGAGAAUGUUGGCCUUCCUGCAUGGUUGUUUACCCGACUCACAUUUGCAAGGAAGUAAGUCAACAGUGGAUGGAAUUAUAAACGGAUACAUUUGCAAUAAGCAGAACUGUGUUUCCCAACACAUCCACAUUUGCAUAUUUUUGUUUGUGUGUUGCAUAAAGUGAUACCGGGUGUAUCCUGCAUGUUGGGGUAAGACCAUAGAGAUUGGGUGUGUGCGAGAGAGUGGGUGGAUGGCUCGUGGAAAAACUGCACUUUUGUGUGUGGGCAGAAAGGGUGACACUGGAACUUAUCCUGGAAAACCAGUUCCAACACCUGUUUGCUAUUCAGAUCAUCAUAAAUGUAGGUUGGUGAUACUGACUGUGGCCGUGGGAUGGAGUAACAUUCCCAAGACGUCUGAGGAGACGGCUGUAGUGUGUUACUUUGUAUGUGGAUGGCCAAUCAUUGUUGAUCGUAAAUGUAGUAGGAUUGUCUUUUACUUUCUUUAAAAAGCAAACGACAGUUUGGGCAAAUAAUAAUAUUGGCGUGUGCCCAAACACCGUGCGACACCGACUACCGCAGCCGGCCCAGGUCUCAGCUUUCUCUGUUUUUCGGUUAUUGCUUCGAUUGAUUUCAUUUACCAUCAACACUGAUUGGACUUCCACAUAAAAGGUGGUGAAUUUCUCCCGUAGGUACUUAAAAAGACCCCCGAUUGCUGCAAUGCGUGUCAGAAAUCCCAUUCCCUGAUUUGUGUGUGUUGGGGGAGUUUGGAGGUAGGAACUUCACAUGUACAGUGUAUGAUUGUGUUAAUUGUGCUUUUGAGAAUAAACGUAAUAUACAAAAAUCACAUUCCUUCUCUGAGACAUAACUCAAUCAAAUCUGAAAACGAACGUGCUAUCCCACGUAUAUGAGUCACUGACUUAAGUCGCAUCAGUACAUCUGCUCCCAUUGUUUUCUACGUGUGCACAUUGGCUGUGAAUUGACGCAUCAUCGAGGGUAGUUCAUUUUCCUAUUUCCUCGGUGAUGACGCAUGACGUCUCCCUGGAAGAGCAGUAAUUUCAUCACAUUCGCUCCCUGGAGUGACUCAUCACAACCACUAGGACUGCCCCUCCCCCGCAAGCAUGCCUGGACAGGUGCAGAGAUGCCUGGACAGGUGCAGAGAUGCCUGGACAGGUGCAGAGAUGGAUGUUUAUUCUACAGUAAAUCAUUUCGGGAGAACUUUCAACAGUGUCUGAUUUGUCAGCCAUCAGGUGAUGAUUUGAAUGUUUUGUUCUUUGUUUGUUCUUAGUAGAUCUUAGUCUUGGUUUGAGGCUUUAGAUUAAAAAGUGUCCGCAGACUGUUGUUGGCAUCUUGCUCGGGCUUCUCUUUUAUUUCAGAUAUUGGUCAGACACACCUGGUCUGUGUUAACACCGCUAAAUGAUGUAACACAAGGAUAUCAUUCAAUGUCUAUUACAAAUACACAGCCAUACAUCUGCUUUCCAGAACUUGCGAAUCAUCACAUUUUGAAGUUUUCUUGAAAAUGUGUCAAAAGUGUCAAAGUAAUCCAGUGAUGGUUCUAUCUUAACACAUGGGUACAUUGCGAACAGGAACUGCUAAAAGCUAAUUUAUUAUACUUUUGAUGGUGCCAAUUCAACAAAUGUAAA
Long non-coding RNA from Anarrhichthys ocellatus (wolf-eel), 3178 nucleotides. RefSeq lists it as uncharacterized. The record is from RefSeq and is a predicted model, not a curated record. Lineage: Eukaryota; Metazoa; Chordata; Actinopteri; Perciformes; Anarhichadidae. The transcript is spliced from 2 exons.